GCCGGGCAUGGUGGCACACACCUGUAAUCCCAGCUACUUGGGAGGCUGAGACAGGACGCUCAAGAGUUCAGCAAUGGUGAGGUGCUAAGCAAUCAGGGAGACCCUGACUCUA
This 112-nucleotide small RNA is filed under the name Marmota monax (woodchuck). The record is from RNAcentral. Lineage: Eukaryota; Metazoa; Chordata; Mammalia; Rodentia; Sciuridae.